UUGAUAUAACCUACCCCAUUAUCCGCCCGGGAACUACGAGCAUUAGCUUAAAACCCAAAGGACUUGGCGGUGCUUUAGACCCACCUAGAGGAGCCUGUCCUAGAACCGAUACCCCCCGUUCAACCUCACCUCCUCUUGUUUUUCCCGUCUAUAUACCGCCGUCGUCAGCUGACCCUGUGAAGGACUAAUAGUAAGCAGAGUUGAUAAAACCCAGGACGUCAGGUCGAGGUGUAGCGUAUGAGGAGGGAAGAGAUGGGCUACAUUCUCUGCCCCAGAGAAACACGAAUGUACUAAUACUGAAAUGUAUAACUGAAGGAGGAUUUAGAAGUAAGUGGAAAACAGAGUGUCCC
This 350-nucleotide ribosomal RNA is filed under the name Melamphaes suborbitalis (shoulderspine bigscale). RNAcentral describes it as "partial 12S ribosomal RNA". It matches the Rfam family "Bacterial small subunit ribosomal RNA", at positions 847 to 1360 of the family's 1533-position model. The record is from RNAcentral. Lineage: Eukaryota; Metazoa; Chordata; Actinopteri; Beryciformes; Melamphaidae.